UCAAGCGUUUAAGGGCGUAUGGCGGAUGCCUAGGCACUGAAAGGCGAUGAAGGACGUGGUAUACUGCGAUAAGUUUCGGGGAGCCGUAUGCAGGCUUUGAUCCGAAAAUUUCCGAAUGGGAUAACCCACCACUUUUUGUGGUACUUUAAACUGAAUACAUAGGUUUAAAGAGCAAACCCGGAGAACUGAAACAUCUAAGUAACCGGAGGAAAAGAAAUCAAUUGAGAUUCCGUUAGUAGUGGCGAGCGAACGCGGAACAGGCCAGUAGCAAUAUUAAGAUAAUCUAAAUAGUUUGGAAAAGCUAACCAUAGAGGGUGAUAGUCCCGUAGGAGUAAUGCUUAAUGUUGUUCUUGAGUAGAACGGGACACGAGAAAUCUUGUUUGAAUAUAGGGGGACCACCCUCUAAGCCUAAAUACUCUUCAGUGACCGAUAGUGAACUAGUACCGUGAGGGAAAGGUGAAAAGAACCCCUAUUAGGGGAGUGAAAUAGAACCUGAAACUGCAUGCCUACAAUCAGUCCGAGCCUUUUUUAGGGUGAGGGCGUACCUUUUGUAUAAUGGGUCAGUGACUUAAUUUAUUAAGCAAGCUUAAGCCAUCUAGGUGUAGGCGCAGCGAAAGCAAGUCUUAAUAGGGCGAUUAGUUUAAUGAAUUAGACCCGAAAACGAAUGAGCUUACCAUGAGCAGGUUGAAAGUUGGGUAACACCAACCGGAGGACCGAACCAGUUGACGUUGAAAAGUCUUUGGAUGACUUGUGGUAAGGGGUGAAAGGCCAACCAAAUUCGUAGAUAGCUGGUUUUCCGCGAAAACUAUUUAGGUAGUGCGUUGAAUAAAUAGAUGUUUAGAGGUAGAGCACUAAAUGGGCUAGGGGGAAGAGAUUCUUACCAAACCUAAUAAAACUCCGAAUGCUAGACAUUGUUCUUCAACAGACAGACUGUGGGUGCUAAGGUCCAUGGUCGAGAGGGAAAGAGCCCAGACCACCAGAUAAGGUCCCCAAAUUAUGAUUAAGUGUGAAAGGAUGUGGAAAUUCCUUAACAGCCGGGAGGUUGGCUUAGAAGCAGCCAUCCUUUAAAGAUAGCGUAACAGCUCACCGGUCUAAUAGAGUUUCUGCGCCGAAGAUGUAACGGGGCUAAAAUCAUGUACCGAAUCUGUGGCUUUGCAAAGUUUUCGAACUUUGUAAGGGGUAGCGGAACGUUCUGUAAGCCUGCGAAGGGAUACCCGUGAGGGAUCCUGGAGGUAUCAGAAGUGCGAAUGCUGACAUAAGUAACGAUAAACGAAGUGAAAAACUUCGUCGCCGAAAAUCUAAGGGUUUCUAUGCAAGGUUAAUCCGCGUAGAGUUAGUCGGCACCUAAGGCGAGGGCGAAAGCCGUAGUCGAUGGAAACAAGGUUAAUAUUCCUUGACCUGAUGGUAGUGACGGAUUUCGUAAGUUGUGAGUUCUUAAUGGAUUGAACUUGCCGCGAAGAGGUCCCAAGAAAUAGCUCCAUCAUGAAGACCGUACCCGAAACCGACACAGGUAGAUUAAUAGAGUAUAUUUAGGCGCUUGAGAGAAUGAUGUUGAAGGAACUCGGCAAAAUGCUUCCGUAACUUCGGGAUAAGGAAGACCUUUUUGUAGGCAACUAUAGAAGGGUGGCACAAGCCAGGGAGAAGCGACUGUUUAUCAAAAACACAGGGCUCUGCUAACACGUAAGUGGAUGUAUAGGGUCUGACGCCUGCCCGGUGCUGGAAGGUUAAUGCGGUUGGUGCAAGCUAACUUCUGAAGCCCCAGUAAACGGCGGCCGUAACUAUAACGGUCCUAAGGUAGCGAAAUUCCUUGUCGGGUAAGUUCCGACC
Molecule: ribosomal RNA, 1827 nt
Filed under: marine metagenome
Description: bacterial LSU rRNA
Rfam family: Bacterial large subunit ribosomal RNA
Source: RNAcentral